Molecule: non-coding RNA, 137 nt
Organism: Caenorhabditis elegans
Lineage: Eukaryota; Metazoa; Nematoda; Chromadorea; Rhabditida; Rhabditidae
Source: Ensembl
UUUGUGGCGAGGAAACGCAGAGACGUACCACCCGAGAAAGGGCGGUCCCCAUCUCUUAUUUCUUCUUCUAUUGGUCUCUCCCUCCGUGCCUCUCUCACUAUUUUUCCUGUGGCCUUACUGCCUGAAAAGACGAGGGU